GAUGAAGAACGCAGCGAAAUGCGAUAAGUAAUGUGAAUUGCAGAAUUCAGUGAAUCAUCGAAUCUUUGAACGCACCUUGCGCCCUUUGGCCAUUCCGAAGGGCAUGCCUGUUUGAGUAUCAUGAACAACUCAACUCUUCAUGGUUUUCCAUGAUGAGCUUGGACUUUGGGGGUCUUGCUGGCCUGUGGGUCGGCUCCUCUCAAAUGAAUCAGCUUGCCGGUUUUUGGUGGGCAUCACAGGUGUGAUAACUAUCUACGCUUGUGGUUUUCCACCAGGGUAACCUUCAGCAGUGGAGGUUCACUGGAGCUUACAAAUGUCUCUCCUCUGUGAGGACAGCCCUUUGAAUGUUUGAUCUCAAAUCAGGUAGGACUACCCGCUGAACUUAAGCAUAUCAAUAAGCGGAGGA
This 406-nucleotide unclassified non-coding RNA is filed under the name soil metagenome. Its description in RNAcentral is "partial contains 5.8S ribosomal RNA, internal transcribed spacer 2, and large subunit ribosomal RNA". The stretch from base 1 to 121 matches the Rfam family "5.8S ribosomal RNA", at positions 35 to 154 of the family's 154-position model. The record is from RNAcentral.